CAGAGUCAUAAAAAACUCCCAACCCAUGUGAAUUUACCUUUGUUGCCUCGGCAGGACCUACCCGGUACCUACCCUGUAGCUACCCUGUAGCCUGCCGGUGGACAUCUAAACUCUUGUUAUUUUAAAUAAAUCUGAGCGUCUUAUUAAAUAAGUCA
This 155-nucleotide unclassified non-coding RNA is filed under the name uncultured Amphisphaeriaceae. RNAcentral's name for it is "sequence contains ITS1". The record is from RNAcentral. Lineage: Eukaryota; Fungi; Ascomycota; Sordariomycetes; Amphisphaeriales; Amphisphaeriaceae.